GUGGUUUAAAUGUGAAAAAACUCAGAGGGAUUUGCUGCUUAACCUUGCACUGGUGACUCUGCAGCUACAGAACAGGCCUGAUGACCUAACCAGACGGUCUAAGAGCUGUUUUUGUUCAAACAGGCCCCAAAAAACAAACAAAACAAUACAACUUUACCUAAAAUGGUACAAAAUGUAUGGAAGAUUUUUCUUUCUUUUUUAUUUUUAGAAAUGUACAUUUAUGGACUGUAACCAGACAGGAUGAGACAACAGCACAGAAGAAAAGCAGCCAUAAUACCUCGACAAACUCUCCGAUUGCUUCCAUAUUCUCAUUACGAUAACAGACCUGCUGUAAACUAAUAAAAGCUACAUUAAUAGAGACUUCAGUGUGCUCUUCCCCAUAGCUGCACAUUGUAAUUUCCUUCUGUUCUCGGGACCCGGACGUCUAAAAUAAACCCUUUACGUUCACGCUGCCGAGCGAGGCAAGAGUUAUUGUUUCAUCUGCCAACCAGCGCUGCUUGUUUUCCAUCAUAACGGCCUCCACAUCUCUUCCUCCUGUCUUGCAGCAGGAGACCUGUGUAAUUACAUCCAUAGCGUUCUCCUCGCUCCUGUUGAUAUCACCGCUGACAUCCACUUGCACAGCCCCCUCCUCUGCCUCUCUCUCUCUCUCUCUCUCUCUCUCUCUCUCUCUCUCUCUCUCUCUCCCCCUCUGCCUCUCUCUGUCCAUCUCGCUGCAUCCUUGUUUAUCGGAAAGCUCUCGCACUGCCAGUGUGCGGUCCUGCUUCGUCAUGUGUGCAGUGCGUCGGAGCAGAUGGGGAAGCAAAGGAAGCGGCAGAGAUGAGAGAGGAGGAAGAGGACGACGGGCAGCUGAAGACGGAGCUGUUCUCCACGUGAAAAGGCGCAGACGAUGCUGACUGCAUUCAUGAAAUGCACUGGAGUCCUUUUUGUGCAGCCUGUUGUUCAACCCUCAGAGGGCAGCAGGGCUAAUUUCUCCUGACUUGUUAAGCGUCGCCUUAAAGGAGCUACCAAGAAAACCAGAGCAAGCGUUCCCCUCUGCUGGGAAACAUGCAGACAAACUCUCUCAAAUGUGGCUUUGUCUAAAUGUUAUGCCAAGUCUGCAGAGCUAAUCACGAGACUGUUUCUUUUUUUUUUUU
Xiphophorus couchianus (Monterrey platyfish) is the source of this 1133-nucleotide long non-coding RNA. RefSeq lists it as uncharacterized. The record is from RefSeq and is a predicted model, not a curated record. Lineage: Eukaryota; Metazoa; Chordata; Actinopteri; Cyprinodontiformes; Poeciliidae. The transcript has 2 exons.